Molecule: ribosomal RNA, 1017 nt
Filed under: Klebsiella pneumoniae
Lineage: Bacteria; Pseudomonadati; Pseudomonadota; Gammaproteobacteria; Enterobacterales; Enterobacteriaceae
Description: partial 23S ribosomal RNA
Rfam family: Bacterial large subunit ribosomal RNA
Source: RNAcentral
UAGGUUAACGAGGCGAACCGGGGGAACUGAAACAUCUAAGUACCCCGAGGAAAAGAAAUCAACCGAGAUUCCCCCAGUAGCGGCGAGCGAACGGGGAGCAGCCCAGAGUCUGAAUCAGCUUGUGUGUUAGUGGAACGGUCUGGAAAGUCCGACGGUACAGGGUGAUAGUCCCGUACACCAAAAUGCACAGGUUGUGAACUCGAAGAGUAGGGCGGGACACGUGGUAUCCUGUCUGAAUAUGGGGGGACCAUCCUCCAAGGCUAAAUACUCCUGACUGACCGAUAGUGAACCAGUACCGUGAGGGAAAGGCGAAAAGAACCCCGGCGAGGGGAGUGAAAAAGAACCUGAAACCGUGUACGUACAAGCAGUGGGAGCACCUUCGGGUGUGACUGCGUACCUUUUGUAUAAUGGGUCAGCGACUUAUAUUCUGUAGCAAGGUUAACCGUAUAGGGGAGCCGCAGGGAAACCGAGUCUUAACUGGGCGUUAAGUUGCAGGGUAUAGACCCGAAACCCGGUGAUCUAGCCAUGGGCAGGUUGAAGGUUGGGUAACACUAACUGGAGGACCGAACCGACUAAUGUUGAAAAAUUAGCGGAUGACUUGUGGCUGGGGGUGAAAGGCCAAUCAAACCGGGAGAUAGCUGGUUCUCCCCGAAAGCUAUUUAGGUAGCGCCUCGUGAACUCAUCUUCGGGGGUAGAGCACUGUUUCGGCUAGGGGGUCAUCCCGACUUACCAACCCGAUGCAAACUACGAAUACCGAAGAAUGUUAUCACGGGAGACACACGGCGGGUGCUAACGUCCGUCGUGAAGAGGGAAACAACCCAGACCGCCAGCUAAGGUCCCAAAGUCAUGGUUAAGUGGGAAACGAUGUGGGAAGGCACAGACAGCCAGGAUGUUGGCUUAGAAGCAGCCAUCAUUUAAAGAAAGCGUAAUAGCUCACUGGUCGAGUCGGCCUGCGCGGAAGAUGUAACGGGGCUAAACCAUGCACCGAAGCUGCGGCAGCGACACUAUGUGUUGUUG